AUUCAGAGCCUAGAAGGUUGCGCCGGUGGAGAUGGUAGAAUGGUGAGUGCAAAUACCCCACUUGCUGCAGCAGCGAUGGCUCCCGCAACAAAGACUGGUAAGUUACCACCACCAAAUAAAUCAUCCAACAGUCCGCUGACCGCAGAAACCAGUAUCUGUUUAAGCAUUCAAGGACUAGCUUAUUAAUGGUACAAAUACAGUUAACUUUUUAAUGAAAAUGAUGUCCCUAUGCUUUUGGAAAUAGUUCAAAAACCUUCUCAUCAUUUUUCUUCCAUAGAUAAGUAUAUGUAUAUUCUUACUUAUCAUGAAUUAAUUAACUCAAUUUUUUCUUCUUUAACCUAGAAGGCCAGUGUUCGCUAUAAAACAUUAAUACUUUCUUAAAUGAAAAUUACUUUGUGAAUACGAAUUAAGAUUAUAUAAAACUAAAUUUAAUAGUUGAUUUUAAAUUUUAGCUUAUAUAAUGUAACAAUGUUGCAGUGGAACCGAACCUGUGGUAGCACUAUUGCCAUGUUUAAAACUCCUAGAGAAAGGCCUGUAAGAUUGAAACAUCCAGAAAAUGUCAGAAGGAUGCCUGAUAUGCGUAUAUAAUCCCAAAAUUAGUCUGAGGGAAAUAUCAGAUUUGUGAAACUGUUUCUUGGAACAUAACCUUUCAAGGAAACCUUCGGCCGGGAAAACAUAUCAUUUACCUUGGCCAGCACCAGAGGCAUUGGAAUAUAUGGAUGCUAGGGCGAAGGGGAUACUGUAUGUGAUCUGCACAAAAGGAAAAUAUACAGUUAACGGACUCCUUUGAACUAUGUCACAAAAUAAGUUAAUUAGUUUAUUACACUACACUCUUGGAUGGGAUGCUAAGCUACCUAUUAACCUCAAAGCUUAAGUUUUAGACAGUGGACAAACAAUGCAUAUCAAUCUUAUUAUCUAUGUCUUAGCCUUAACACCACAAUUAAUGUACAUUGAACUUAUUGGGCUUUCACUCUAACACAGGAUAUACCCAAUCAACUAGAUAAUCAGGCUGUACAAACCCUUUUAAUUAGGACUCCUCGUAUAUACAAGUUGUUAAGUAACUGACCAAAGUGUAUAUAAAAUUUUAAUUUCCUUGACGGACAGGGAGAAUGAGGGACUAACCGCUUGAGGUAUGCCCAACAAGGCGAAGAUCGUCAAGGCAAAAAUCUUAACGUUGGCUGGAGGCAUCAAGCUUCUGCCUUC
This 1203-nucleotide long non-coding RNA is filed under the name Vitis vinifera (wine grape). Its description in RNAcentral is "long non-coding RNA (VVIN_LNC006135)". Lineage: Eukaryota; Viridiplantae; Streptophyta; Magnoliopsida; Vitales; Vitaceae. The record is from RNAcentral.